UUUUUCAUUAAGUUGAGGUUGGACCAGUCCGGUGGUGAUCACUGGAGAAGAUAUCUGGAGCUAGGGCUCCAGUGGUGCGUUGGCAAGUCCCAAGCCAUCUGAUCUUGUUCCAAUGUUUUAAUCUUAGCCCUUGCUUUUGCAUACCACGCGUGUACACACGUUGAUUAAAGCGUUGGUGAAAUGCGUGCUUCUAGCCAUCAGAUUUGUCACCUUAAUUAAUGAGGGAGAUCUGAUGGCCCUUGUUUUUUUAAUUUCUGAUUUUAUGUUUAAU
RNAcentral lists this long non-coding RNA (271 nucleotides) under Lathyrus oleraceus (garden pea). RNAcentral describes it as "Pisum sativum (pea) long non-coding RNA (PSAT_LNC028400)". The record is from RNAcentral. Lineage: Eukaryota; Viridiplantae; Streptophyta; Magnoliopsida; Fabales; Fabaceae.